UAAACACAGGUUCCUUUACGAUCACCGAAGUUAAGCAACGUCGAGCCUGGUCAGUACCUAGAUAGGUGACUACUUGAGAAUACCAGAUGCUGUAAG
This 96-nucleotide ribosomal RNA is filed under the name Acanthosepion pharaonis. Lineage: Eukaryota; Metazoa; Mollusca; Cephalopoda; Sepiida; Sepiidae. The record is from RNAcentral.